CUAUAACGGUCCUAAGGUAGCGAAAUUCCUUGUCGGGUAAGUUCCGACCCGCACGAAAGGCGUAACGAUUUGGGCACUGUCUCAACGAGAGACUCGGUGAAAUCAUAGUACCUGUGAAGAUGCAGGUUACCCGCGACAGGACGGAAAGACCCCGUGGAGCUUUACUGUAGCCUGAUAUUGAAAUUCGGCACAGCUUGUACAGGAUAGGUAGGAGCCUUUGAAACGUGAGCGCUAGCUUACGUGGAGGCGUUGGUGGGAUACUACCCUAGCUGUGUUGGCUUUCUAACCCGCACCACUUAUCGUGGUGGGAGACAGUGUCAGGCGGGCAGUUUGACUGGGGCGGUCGCCUCCUAAAAGGUAACGGAGGCGCUCAAAGGUUCCCUCAGAAUGGUUGGAAAUCAUUCAUAGAGUGUAAAGGCAUAAGGGAGCUUGACUGCGAGACCUACAAGUCGAGCAGGGUCGAAAGACGGACUUAGUGAUCCGGUGGUUCCGCAUGGAAGGGCCAUCGCUCAACGGAUAAAAGCUACCCCGGGGAUAACAGGCUUAUCUCCCCCAAGAGUUCACAUCGACGGGGAGGUUUGGCACCUCGAUGUCGGCUCAUCGCAUCCUGGGGCUGUAGUCGGUCCCAAGGGUUGGGCUGUUCGCCCAUUAAAGCGGUACGCGAGCUGGGUUCAGAACGUCGUGAGACAGUUCGGUCCCUAUCCGUCGUGGGCGUAGGAAAUUUGAGAGGAGCUGUCCUUAGUACGAGAGGACCGGGAUGGACAUACCUCUGGUGUACCAGUUGUCGUGCCAACGGCAUAGCUGGGUAGCUAUGUAUGGACGGGAUAAGUGCUGAAAGCAUCUAAGCAUGAAGCCCCCCUCAAGAUGAGAUUUCCCAACUUCGGUUAUAAGAUCCCUCGAAGAUGACGAGGUUAAUAGGUUCGAGGUGGAAGCGUGGUGACACGUGGAGCUGACGAAUACUAAUCGAUCGAAGACUUAAUCAAUUUUUAAA
This 991-nucleotide ribosomal RNA is filed under the name Listeria monocytogenes. RNAcentral's name for it is "bacterial LSU rRNA". It matches the Rfam family "Bacterial large subunit ribosomal RNA", at positions 1940 to 2925 of the family's 2925-position model. The record is from RNAcentral. Lineage: Bacteria; Bacillati; Bacillota; Bacilli; Caryophanales; Listeriaceae.